Fukomys damarensis (Damara mole-rat) is the source of this 2137-nucleotide long non-coding RNA. RefSeq lists it as uncharacterized. The transcript has 2 exons. NCBI's taxonomy places the organism in Eukaryota, Metazoa, Chordata, Mammalia, Rodentia, Bathyergidae. The record is from RefSeq and is a predicted model, not a curated record.
GGUGGGAACCAGAGGGCGGUCCUCCCAGUGGAAGAAAGCAGGAGGAGGAGAGUGCAGGCCCUGAGGGAGCAGGGACGACGGGAGAGAUCUGACCUACCGCCCAGGAAGGGGAGAGCAGCAGGAUGGGGGUGCAUUGCACCAGAGGCCAGGCCCCCCAAGCUGUCCACAUUUCCAGGGAGCAGGAACUCUAAUCCCUCCCUUUUAAGAUGCCAGUCUGCGCCUGUUCUGGAGGAGCAGCAAAGAGCAACAAGUGGAUGUGAGGUGAGGAGCUGCCGGGAACCUGGCGCUCACUGGCUGGCGAGAGGCUGCAGCGUGGUGGGUGAAGCGUGCGCAGCUGGCAGUGGGAUGGCUGCAUUGCUUAGGACCUUCUACGAGGCCCUCAGCAGACCUGAUCUGGUCAUCUGUGAAAUGGGAGCAAACGGCUUGCCUUGUGGAGCUGCUGUGGGGAUGAAGGAAGUCGUGGUGGGAAGCCCUUGGCACAGCAAGCUCAGAGCACAGGAUAUGGCCUCCACUGGCCAUGGCCAGGGCCUCUCCGUCCCUCUCAGAGUGGCUUUCCAGGCCAGCUGUGGUCUGGCCCUCCCGGAUCUGCACCUUCUGCUUGUACUUCUCCUCCUGCAACUUCAAGGUUAGCUGUUGACUCUUGUAUUUAAAGGAGGUGGGAAGGGGUGGAGGCUGCUCAUGGCCUCUGCAGACCCAUCUGCCUCUCUCCUUCACUAACUGAACCCGGCUUUGUGGGGGAAGAGGAAAUGUACCCGGGAAGACAUCUCCUUUCAGAGAGGGGCUGAUGUGUCCUCAGUCCUGCACAGUAACAUGUAGUCAAGAAUUAUAGGGCGGGGCUUCCAGAAGAAUCCUAAGGAGGCCACUUAGCCUGAGCUUCCAGUGUCUUUUUCAUUAAUAUUGUUGACCUCCCUGGGUCUCUUUCUCUUCCCUAAGACAAAGAGAUGUCUUCCCCACCAGCACCGGAGCUAUGAGGAAAAGUCAGCUCUCACGCUGCCGCUUCUCCCGGGGUGUGGGCCGGGAGUUCGUCCCAGCUGUCUCCAGGCACACCUGCCCCCACAGCGAGAUCAUGUACCCGCUUCUAGACCCCUCUGCCCACACUGAAGACCCCAGAACUUUAACUAUUAGGCCCUAUCCCCAUUUCCAGGGCUAUGUUUUCUUCUUCCCUGCACGGACAUGUCUUUAUUGUUUGUACGUAAGUUCUGGGGUGAACUCUAGAAAGCCUCUCUGACAGGAACUGCUGAACAGGGGCCCAAGUAAAGUGACGGCACAGGUCCCUGUGACUCACACAGGACCCUAGGCCUAAGGCCUCCAAUGAGAGAGGCUGGCAACACAGUGUGGGGUGACACUGGCCUUAAAGAACUGGCAUUGGCCUUCUCAGCCCAGAACCGACCCUCCUGACUACUCUGCCAGCUGAUCCUUUCCACCAGACCUACUUCCCUGGUGUGGAACUCCAGAUCUCUCCCUCUGUCAAACCUUCUGGAAGCUGUUCCCACCCUUCCUGGAAUGGUAGUGCCACCAGCCUGGGAAAGAUGGUCAGCGGGCUGUUCUGCCUCAUCUGUCCUAGGUACCCUUCCUUCUUACCCAGAGCACCGUCUCCUUUCAUCUUGGACUAAUUUAUCCCAGGCCCUCACUGAAUCUGCCCCAAACCAGUCUGGGGUGAGUUUAAUAUGGUUCCGGCUCUGGAGAAAGAGGGGUGACUGAGGUGACCUCCGGAGGGAUCCAUAAGCCACUGGAUUCGUGCUGUCUCCAAGUCCCAUGUCCACCCACCAGUGAUCUUGGUGUAUAAUUGCAUCCAUGUGGCAUCCCUAACAAGCAGUGGUAGCCCAGAGUCACCAUCUUGGAUUCUAGAUAUGCCAGGAUGCUAGGAGGACUCUUCCGGAGAUCAAGAGAGAAGCCAGCUUUCUGCUGGGGGGAUUUACGUCUUGAUGAUGAAGGAUUUCAGUCCAGAAGUCUACUCGCUCCCACAAUAAACUUUCUUUUUUUUAGUUGAUAUGAAGAAGGAGCCACUCAAGGAAACCACAAAACCAUGAAAAAUUAGUUUACAUUAAUGCAUUUUCUGAAAAUCAUGGCCUAGUGACUGAAAUUUAUACUUGGCUAUCACUUGAUACAUUUUUAAUGGAGUCAGUGCAAUGUUUUU